AGCUAAAAGCCCAGUGAGUAGAACCAUAAAACAUAUUAACACUAUGCUCCAAUGAAAUGCAUCAUAACACAGACAAUUCACAUAAGGGUUGGGUGAACUUGUCACCAAUUAGUCCAAGCUAACUCUGUGCCAGGCCGUAGCAUGGGGUCCUGGUCUUCCUGUCAUAACAUACAUUACUUACCAUUUCCCCAGGGCCUCCUGGUCUUCGAGUCCCAUAACCGUGCCAGGCCGUAGAAUGGGGUCCUGGUCUUUCCUUACUCUGUGUCAGGCCGUAGAAUGGGGUCCUAGUCUUCCUGUCAUGGACUAAUUGGGUCAUCCAAUAUUCACCCACAUCAACAACAAUCGAUGCAAUGCGGCAUAUUCGUGAAA
RNAcentral lists this long non-coding RNA (369 nucleotides) under Manihot esculenta (cassava). RNAcentral's name for it is "long non-coding RNA (MESC_LNC003492)". The record is from RNAcentral. Lineage: Eukaryota; Viridiplantae; Streptophyta; Magnoliopsida; Malpighiales; Euphorbiaceae.